CGAACCGUUUUACAAAUACUCGCUAUCGUGCACAUCGGACUAAACCUGAAGUGAAUAUGUUUUUUGAAAAGAAUUCGAACACUUUCGGGUCGAUCGGUUUUGAUCGAACGCGGACCUUUAUUGGGCAUAAGAAAAUUGUUGUAUAAUACUGUAUUCUAAUGGUUCCGCGAUCCUUUCCAUAAAUUAUUGCACACCACGACUAAUGGGUUACGGCGAUCCGCGCGUUAAGUACGAACUCGUAAAUCUUUUGAUUAUGACUCAUUUGAGUGUGACCCAUCGUUUUUGUGCCGUGAAAAGAGCGAAGGUGGUCGAUAAUUACUCCUACGAUCAUUAUCGAAAUUCGAUUUUAAAACGAUCGUACCGUAUAUUAUUACAUUUGUCAUUACCCGAGCAGAAACGAAGUCUGUAUUAUGCCAAAACAUUAACAACGAACGCAAUAGUGCGCCUUUCACGGUUGUCCAAUAGUCGGCUGGCCGUUAAACACGGGCACUGUGUGCCACUAGUGAAAAACAGUACCGGUAGUCGAGUGCGGGCCUGAUUUUUGCGCAGCACCGGCACCGUACUGCGUAUCUAUUAUGUUGUUGAAAUC
Molecule: non-coding RNA, 589 nt
Organism: Cinara cedri
Lineage: Eukaryota; Metazoa; Arthropoda; Insecta; Hemiptera; Aphididae
Source: the annotation of a GenBank genome assembly